Molecule: ribosomal RNA, 497 nt
Filed under: uncultured bacterium
Lineage: Bacteria
Description: partial 16S ribosomal RNA
Rfam family: Bacterial small subunit ribosomal RNA
Source: RNAcentral
GAUGAACGCUGGCGGCGUGCCUAAUACAUGCAAGUCGAGCGAACAGACGAGGAGCUUGCUCCCCUGACGUUAGCGGCGGACGGGUGAGUAACACGUGGAUAACCUACCUAUAAGACUGGGAUAAAUUCGGGAAACCGGAGCUAAUACCGGAUAACAUGUUGAACCGCAUGGUUCAACAGUGAAAGACGGUCCUGCUGUCACUUAUAGAUGGAUCCGCGCCGCAUUAGCUAGUUGGUAAGGUAACGGCUUACCAAGGCAACGAUGCGUAGCCGACCUGAGAGGGUGAUCGGCCACACUGGAACUGAGACACGGUCCAGACUCCUACGGGAGGCAGCAGUAGGGAAUCUUCCGCAAUGGGCGAAAUCCUGACGGAGCAACGCCGCGUGAGUGAAGAAGGUCUUCGGAUCGUAAAACUCUGUUAUUAGGGAAGAACAAAUGUGUAAGUAACUAUGCACGUCUUGACGGUACCUAAUCAGAAAGCCACGGCUAACUACGUG